UCAAUAACCAAUAGCGGGACCUGGAUGCCCAUAUUGGUUCCUACAUAUUCUACGAAGAUCUUUAUCGGUCAGACCGCAUAACAACAUACGUUGUUCCCUUUGUCAUCGGUAUGUUACUUGCCCGAGAUUCGAUCGUCGGUAUCCAAUACCUAGUUCAAUCUCGUUACCGGCAAGUCUCUUUACUCGUUCCGUAAUACAUCAUCUCGCAACUAACUCAUUAGUUACAAUGCUUGCAAGGCUUAAGUGAUGUGCAUUACCGAGAGGGCCCAGAGAUACCUCUCCGAUAUUCGGAGUGACAAAUCCUAAUCUCGAAAUAUGCCAACCCAACAAGUACCAUCGGAGACACCUGUAGAGCACCUUUAUAAUCACCCAGUUACGUUGUGACGUUUGGUAGCACACAAAGUGUUCCUCCGGUAAACGGGAGUUGCAUAAUCUCAUAGUCAUAGGAACAUGUAUAAGUCAUGAAGAAAGCAAUAGCAACAUACUAAACGAUCGGGUGCUAAGCUAACUGAAUGGGUCAUGUCAAUCAGAUCAUUCAACUAAUGAUGUGAUCCCGUUAAUCAAAUAACAACUCUUUGUCCAUGGUUAGGAAACAUAACCAUCUUUGAUUAACAAGCUAGUCAAGUAGAGGCAUACUAGUGACACUCUGUUUGUCUAUAUAUUCACACAUGUAUUAUGUUUCUGGUUAAUACAAUUCUAGCAUGAAUAAUAAACAUUUAUCAUGAUAUAAGGAAAUAAAUAAUAACUUUAUUAUUGCCUCUAGGGCAUAUUUCCUUCAGUCUCCCACUUGCACUAGAGUCAAUAAUCUAGAUCACAUCACCAUGUGAUUAACAUCGAUAGUUCACAUCAUCAUGUGAUUAACACCCAUAGUUCACAUCGCCAUGUGACCAACUUCCAAAGGGUUUACUAGAUUCAGUAAUCUAGUUCACAUCCCUAUGUGAUUAACACCCAAAGAGUACUAAGGUGUGAUCAUGUUUUGCUUGUGAGAGAAUCUUAGUCAACGGGUCUUUCACAUUCAGAUCCGUUAUGUAUUUUGCAAUUUUUUAUGUCUACAAUGCUCUGCACGGAGCUACUCUAGCUAAUUGCUCCCACUUUCAAUAUGUAUCUAGAUCGAGACUUAGAGUCAUCCAGAUCGGUGUCAAAACUUGCAUCGACGUAACCCUUUACGACGAACCUUUUGUCACUUCCAUAAUCGAGAAACAUAUCCUUAUUCCACUAAGGAUAAUUUUGACCGCUGUCCAGUGAUCUACUCCUAGAUCACUAUUGUACUCCCUUGCCAAACUCAGUGCAGGGUAUACAAUAGAUCUGGUACACAGCAUGGCAUACUUUAUAGAACCUAUGGCCAAGGCAUAGGGAAUGACUUUCAUUCUCUUUCUAUCUUCUGUCGUGGUCGGGUUUUGAGUCUUACUCAAUUUCACACCUUGUAACACAGGCAAGAACUCUUUCUUUGACUGUUCCAUUUUGAACUACUUCAAAAUCUUGUCAAGGUAUGUACUCAUUGAAAAAACUUAUCAAGCGUCUUGAUCUAUCUCUAUAGAUCUUGAUACCGAAUAUCUAAGCAGCUUCACCGAGGUCUUUCUUUGAAAAACUCCUUUCAAACACUCCUUUAUGCUUUGCAGAAUAAUUCUACAUUAUUUCCGAUCUACAAUAUGUCAUUCACAUAUACUUAUCAGAAAUGCUGUAGUGCUCCCACUCACUUUCUAGUAAAUACAGGCUUCACCGCAAGUCUGUAUAAAACUAUAUGCUUUGAUCAACUUAUCAAAGCGUAUAUUCCAACUCCGAGAUGCUUGCACCAGUCCAUAGAUGGAUCGCUGGAGCUUGCGUAUUUUUUCAGCACCUUUAGGAUUGACAAAACCUUCUGGUUGCAUCAUAUACAACUCUUCUUUAAAUCCAUUAAGGAAUGUAGUUUUGUUUAUCCAUUUGCCAGAUUUCAUAAAAUGCGGCAAUUGCUAACAUGAUUCGGACAGACUUAAGCAUCGCUACGGGUGAGAAGGUCUCAUCGUAGUCAAUCCCUUGAACUUGUCGGAAACCUUUUGCAACAAGUCGAGCUUUAUAGACAGUAACAUUACUGUCAGCGUCAGUCUUCUUCUUGAAGAUCCAUUUAUUCUCAAUUGCUUGCUGACCAUCGGGCAAGUCAACCAAAGUCCAUACUUUGUUCUCAUACAUGGAUCCCAUCUCAGAUUUCAUGGCUUCAAGCCAUUUUGCGGAAUCUGGGCUCACCAUCGCUUCUUCAUAGUUCAUAGGUUCAUCAUGAUCUAGUAGCAUGACUUCCAGAAUAGGAUUACCGUACCACUCAGGUGCGGAUCUUACUCUGUUUGACCUACGAGGUUCUGUAGUAACUUGAUUUGAAGUUCUAUGAUCAUCAUCAUCAAAUUUCUCACUAGUUGGUUUUGACGUCACAGAAACCGGUUCCUGUGAUGUACUAUUUUCCAACAAGGGAGCAGGUACAGUUACCUCAUCAAGUUAUACUUUCCUCCCACUCACUUCUUUCGAGAGAAACUCCUUCUCUAGAAAGGAUCCAUUUUUAGCAACGAAUAUCUUGCCUUCGGAUCUGUGAUAGAAGGUGUACCCAACAAUUUCCUUUGGGUAUUCUAUGAAGACGCACUUCUCCGAUUUGGGUUUGAGCUUAUCAGGAUGAAAAACUUUUUCACAUAAGCAUCGUAGCCCCAAACUUUAAGAAAUGACAACUUGGGUUUCUUGCUAAACCACAGUUCAUAUAGUGUCGUCUCAACAGAUUUAGAUGGUGCCCUUUUAACGUGAAUGCAGCUGUCUCUAAUGCAUAACCCCAAAACAAUAUUGGUGAAUCGGUAAGAAACAUCAUAGAUUGUACUAUAUCCAAUAAAGCACGGUUAUGACGUUCGGACACACAAUUAUGAUGUGGUGUUCUAGGUGGCAUGAAUUUGUGAAACUAUUCCACAUUGUUUUAAUUGAAGACCAAACUCGUAACUCAAAUAUUGUCUCCGCGAUCAGAUCGUAGAAACUUUAUUUUUCUUGUUACAAUGAUUUCCACUUCACUAUGAAAUUCUUUGAACCUUUCAACUAUUUCAGACUUAUGUUUCAUCAAGUAGAUAUACCCAUAUCUGCUCAAAUCAUCUUGUGAAGGUCAGAAAAUAACGAUACCCGCCGCGAGCCUUAACACUCAUCGGAUCGCAUAGAUUAGUAUGUAUUAUUUCCAAUAAGUUAGUUGCUCGCUCCACUGUUCCGGAGAACGGAGUCUUAGUCAUCUUGCCCAUGAGGCAUGGUUCGCAAGCAUCAAGUGAUUCAUAAUCAAGUGAUUCCAAAAUCCCAUCAGCAUGGAGUUUCUUCAUGCGCUUUACACUGAUAUGACCUAAACGGCAGUGCCACAAAUAAGUUGUACUAUCAUUAUUAACUUUGCAUCUUUUGGUUUCAAUAUUAUGAAUAUGUGUAUCACUACGAUUGAGAUCCAAUGAACCAUUUUCAUUGGGUGUGUAACCAUAUAAGGUUUUAUUCAUGUAAACAGAACAACAGUUUAUUCUCUUACUUAAAUGAAUAACCGUAUUGCAAUAAACACAAUCAAAUCAUAUUCAUGCUCAACGCAAACACCAAAUAACAUUUAUUUAGGUUCAACACUAAUCCCGAAAGUAUAGGGAGUGUGCGAUGAUGAUCAUAUCAAUCUUGAAACUACUUUCAACACACAUCGUCACUUCACCCUUAACUAGUUUCUGUUUAUUCUGCAACUCCCGUUUCGAGUUACUACUCUUAGCAACUGAACCAGUACCAAAUACCGAGGGGUUGCUAUAAACACUAGUAAGGCACACAUCAAACACAUGUAUAUCAAAUAUACCCUUUUUCACUUUGCCAUCCUUCUUAUUCACCAAAUAUUUAGGGUAUUUCCGCUUCCAGUGACCAUUUCCUUUGCAGUGUAAGCACUCAGUUUCAGGCUUUGGUUCAGCUUUGGGCUUCUUCGUGGGAGUGACAACUUGCUUGUUAAUCUACUUGAAGUUCCCCUUUCUUUCCCUUUGCCCUUUUCUUGAAACUAGUGAUCUUGUCAACCAUCAACACUUGAUGCUUUUUCUUGAUUUCUACCUUCGUCGAUUUCAACAUCACGAAGAGCUCGGGAAUCAUUUUCGUCAUCCCUUGCAUACUAUAGUUCAUCACGAAGUUCUACUAACUUGGUGAUGGUGACUAGAGAACUCUGUCAAUCACUAUCUUAUCUGGAAGAUUAGCUCCCACUUGAUUCAAACGAUUGUAGUACCCAGACAAUCUGAGCACUUGGUCACUAGUUGAGCGAUUCUCCUCCAUCUUUUAGCUAUAGAACUUGUUGGAGACUUCAUAUCUCUCAACUCGGGUAUUUGCUUGUAAUAUUAACUUCAGUUCUUGGAACAUCUCAUAUGGUCCAUGACGUUCAAAACGUCUUUGAAGUCCCGAUUCUAAGCCGUUAAGCAUGGUGCACUAAACUGUCAAGUAGUCAUCAUAUUGAGCUAGCCAAACGUUCAUAACGUCUGCAUUUGCUUCUGCAAUAGGUCUGUCACCUAGCGGUGCAUCAAGGACAUAAUACUUCUGUGCAGCAAUGAGGAUAAACCUCAGAUCACCGAUCCAAUCCGCAUCAUUGCUACUAACAUCUUUCAACACAGUUUUCUCCAGGAACAUAUCAAAAUAAACAUAUGAAAGCAACAACGCGAGCUAUUGAUCAACAUAAUUUGCAAAAUACUACCAGGACUAAGUUCAUGAUAAAUUUAAGUUCAAUUAAUCAUAUUACUUAAGAACUCCCACUUAGACAGACAUCUCUCUAGUCAUCUAAGUGAUCACGUGAUCCAAAUCAACUAAACCAUAACCGAUCAUCACGUGAGAUGGAGUAGUUUUCAAUGGUGAACAUCACUAUGUUGAUCAUAUCUACUAUAUGAUUCACGCUUGACCUUUCGGUCUCCGUGUUCCGAGGCCAUAUCUGCAUUUGCUAGGCUCGUCAAGUUUAACCUGAGUAUUCUGCGUGUGCAAAACUGGCUUGCACCCGUUGUAGAUGGACGUAGAGCUUAUCACACCCGAUCAUCACGUGGUGUCUGGGCACGACGAACUUUGGCAACGGUGCAUACUCAGGGAGAACACUUCUUGAUAAUUUUUAAUGAGAGAUCAUCUUAAAAUGCUACCGUCAAUCAAAGCAAGAUAAGAUGCAUAAAAGAUAAACAUCACAUGCAAUCAAUAUAAGUGAUAUGAUAUGGCCAUCAUCAUCUUGUGCUUGUGAUCUCCAUCUCCGAAGCAUCAUCAUGAUCACCAUCGUCACCGGCGCGACACCUUGAUCUCCAUCGUAGCAUCGUUGUCGUUUACGCCAUCUAUUGCUUCUACGACUAUUGCUACCGCUUAGUGAUAAAGUAAAGCAAUUACAGGGCGUUUGCAUUUCAUACAAUAAAGCGACAACCAUAUGGCUCCUGCCAGUUGCCGAUAACUUCGGUUAUAAAACAUGAUCAUCUCAUACAAUAAAAUAUAGCAUCAUGUCUUGGCCAUAUCACAUCACAACAUGCCCUGCAAAAACAAGUUAGACGUCCUCUACUUUGUUGUUGCAAGUUUUACGUGGCUGCUACGGGCUUAAGCAAGAACCAGUCUCACCUACGCAUCAAAACCACAACGAUAGUUUGUCAAGUUGAUGCUGUUUUAACCUUCGCAAGGACCGGGCGUAGCCACACUCGGUUCAAAUAAAGUUGGAGAAACUGACACCUGCUAGUCACCUGUGUGCAAAGCACGGCGGUAAAACCAGUCUCGCGUAAGCGUACGCGUAAUGUCGGUCCGGGCCGCUUCAUCCAACAAUACCGCCGAACCAAAGUAUGACAUGCUGGUAAGCAGUAUGACUUAUAUCGCCCACAACUCACUUGUGUUCUACUCGUGCAUAUAACAUCAAACCAUAAAAACCUAGGCUCAGAUGCCACUGUUGGGGAACGUAGUAAUUUCAAAAUUUUUCCUACGCACACGCAAGAUCAUGGUGAUGCAUAGCAACGAGAGGGGAGAGUGUUGUCUACGUACCCUCGUAGACCGAAGCGGAAGCAUUGACGCAACGUAGAGGAAGUAGUCGUACGUCCUCCCGGUCCAACCGAUCCAAGCACCGUUACUCCGACACCUCCGAGUUCUUGACACACGUACAACUCGAUGACGCACCCCGAUCUCCGAUCCAGCAGAGGCGCGGGGAGGAGUUCCGUCAGCACGACGGUGUGGUGACGAUCUUGAUGUUCUCCUGUCGCAGGGCUUCGCCUAAGCACCGCUACAAUAUGACCGAGGUGUAAUAUCGUGGAGGGGGGCACCGCACACGGCUAAGGAACGAUCUCAAUGAUCAACUUGUGUGUCCAUGGCGUGCCCCCUACCCCCGUAUAUAAAGGAGAGGAGGAGGGGAGGGCCGGCCCUCUACUAUGGCGCGUCCUGGGGAGUCCUACUCCCACCGGGAGUAGGAUUCCCCCUUUCCUAGUCCAAUAGGAGACCUUCCAUGUAUUAGGAGUAGGAGACUAGGAAGGGGAAGAGAGAAGGGAAGGAAGGAGGGGGUGCGGCCCCUCCCCCUAGUCCAAUUCGGACUAGGCCAUGGGGGGGGGGGGCGCGGCCUGCCCUAGGCAGCCCCUCUCUCUUUCCCGCAGGGCCCAAUAAGGCCCAAUACUUCUCCCCGGUGAAUUCCCGUAACUCUCCGGUACUCCGAAAAAUACCCGAAUCACUCGGAACCUUUCCGAACUCAGAAUAUAGUCGUCCAAUAUAUCGAUCUUUACGUCUCGACCAUUUCGAGACUCCUCGUCAUGUCCCCGAUCUCAUCCGGGACUCCGAACUCCUUCGGUUCAUCAAAACUCAUAAACUCAUAAUAUAACUGUCAUCGAAACCUUAAGCGUGCGGACCCUACGGUUCGAGAACAAUGUAGACAUGACCGAGACACGUCUCCGGUCAAUAACCAAUAGCGGGACCUGGAUGCCCAUAUUGGUUCCUACAUAUUCUACGAAGAUCUUUAUCGGUCAGACCGCAUAACAACAUACGUUGUUCCCUUUGUCAUCGGUAUGUUACUUGCCCGAGAUUCGAUCGUCGGUAUCCAAUACCUAGUUCAAUCUCGUUACCGGCAAGUCUCUUUACUCGUUCCGUAAUACAUCAUCUCGCAACUAACUCAUUAGUUACAAUGCUUGCAAGGCUUAAGUGAUGUGCAUUACCGAGAGGGCCCAGAGAUACCUCUCCGACAUUCGGAGUGACAAAUCCUAAUCUCGAAAUACGCCAACCCAACAAGUACCAUCGGAGACACCUGUAGAGCACCUUUAUAAUCACCCAGUUACGUUGUGACGUUUGGUAGCACACAAAGU
RNAcentral lists this long non-coding RNA (7271 nucleotides) under Triticum aestivum (bread wheat). RNAcentral describes it as "long non-coding RNA (TAES_LNC007128)". The record is from RNAcentral. Lineage: Eukaryota; Viridiplantae; Streptophyta; Magnoliopsida; Poales; Poaceae.